This 882-nucleotide long non-coding RNA is filed under the name Canis lupus familiaris (dog). Its description in RNAcentral is "lncRNA (ENSCAFG00845024599.1)". Lineage: Eukaryota; Metazoa; Chordata; Mammalia; Carnivora; Canidae. The record is from RNAcentral.
GGCCAGCGUGGCCAUGGUCAUGAGCCUGGUAUGCUGGGGAGGGGGCAAAGGCCUCCAAAGGAGAAGCUUUUCAGGAAUUUCUCCUGGGUCCUGCCUGAGCACUCAGGAGAUGUUCGGAUGGAGACCCUGCCUCAGACAUCUCGGGAUGCUGGUCCACGGAAAACAAUCACAGCCUGGAGCUGAGUGUGUCAAAAUGAAGAACGUGGCCAACCUGCUGCCCAACCGGGGGCCCAGCUUGAGUCCCCAUAUCAGACGGAGGCAGGCUUGCCAGAGACCAGAGCGGCUGCCGAGGUCCUCGUCGGGUCAAGUCAGACAACAGGCAGGACGAAGUGGCAGUGCCCCGAGCAGAGGCUCCGGCCAAGAGCACAAGCCCAGCCUCUGCCUCCGUCUUCCCUUCCCUGGUCGUGGCCACUGCGAGGCGAGUAGGAUGGAGAGGGAGGGAGAGAACGUGCAGGUUAGGGAUGCAAGGGGGGCUCCCUACAGCCUCUGACCCCAUCAGGAUGGAAGCCUGGCAUGAAGGAGUCGUGUCCCUGCCUCUCCUUCGUAGAGAAAGUGCUGCAGGUUCCCAGAGUUCCAGGCACACUCAUACCCACGUGUAAGGACCCACGCAAAUGCCAAGAAAGCGGCAAAAGCCCUUCUCUGCUUCGUCACCAUUUUCGAUGCACAGAUGCAAAGUCUGUAGGACAGACACUGCCUUGCAUGUGGUGAGGCCUCUGUAAUGUUUAUUGGAAAAAAAUAAAGUCACCGUCCAUGAGAAAGCCAAGCGCAGAGGGUUUUGCUGUAUAUCCUUUUUUAAGUCCCUCUGACUAAUUAAAGUAUUUGUUGAUUUCCAGCCCAUAGUUUCAAUCAACCCAGGGGGAUUUUCAAAGGCUUUGGUGUGCC